RNAcentral lists this ribosomal RNA (435 nucleotides) under uncultured bacterium. Its description in RNAcentral is "partial 16S ribosomal RNA". It matches the Rfam family "Bacterial small subunit ribosomal RNA", at positions 28 to 507 of the family's 1533-position model. The record is from RNAcentral.
GAUGAACGCUGGCGGCAUGCUUAACACAUGCGAGUCGAACGGACUCUUCGGAGUUAGUGGCGGACGGGUGAGUAACGCGUGAGAAUCUGGCUUUGGGUUCGGGACAACCACUGGAAACGGUGGCUAAUACCGGAUGUGCCGAGAGGUAAAAGAGAAAUUGCCUGAAGAUGAGCUCGCGUCUGAUUAGCUAGUUGGUGAGGUAAAGGCUCACCAAGGCAGCGAUCAGUAGCUGGUCUGAGAGGAUGACCAGCCACACUGGGACUGAGACACGGCCCAGACUCCUACGGGAGGCAGCAGUGGGGAAUUUUCCGCAAUGGGCGAAAGCCUGACGGAGCAAUACCGCGUGAGGGAAGAAGGCUCUUGGGUUGUAAACCUCUUUUCUUAGGGAAGAACAAAAUGACGGUACCUAAGGAAUCAGCAUCGGCUAACUCCGUG